Molecule: long non-coding RNA, 678 nt
Organism: Cloeon dipterum
Lineage: Eukaryota; Metazoa; Arthropoda; Insecta; Ephemeroptera; Baetidae
Exons: 5
Source: RefSeq, a predicted model, not a curated record
GCUAAACUCAACUUCCAACUUCCUUGUGUGUGAGUUUAAUUUAACUCAAAAGUGUUAUUUGUGAUACGAAAUGCUUGGACUGCUGCAGCUGCUACUAUUCCUUUUACUUUUCGGCAAUUCCCACUGUGAUUUGAUUACGAUAAAAAAAGGAAAAAAUGUAGUGGCUUGCUUAACGAAUAAUUACACGUCCGCGGUAGCGUUUGUAAAGAGACCUGACGGCGACAAAGAUUUCACCAAAGUGGAUUACUCGGACGGCGAAGGAAAGUCUAUUCCACUUAGCAAAUAUGACUGUGAUUUGGUCACAGGAAAUUGUACGCAAUGGAAUUGGAAGAAAAGGAAUAACCAAGGAUGGAAUUUAGCUAGCGAAGUAGGUGGUGCCAUCACAGACUACCGUUGGAAUGAUCUGCCCACAUAUUUCGUUAGCAGAACAUCGUUAAUUCAAACUUACAGCAUAAGUCACAGAGCGCCUUUCCAUUUUUCAUUUUUGGCCGAGGAGCAAGCGGGAAACAAAAUUCACGAACGAAACAAAUGGUCACAAUCUAAAAAUAGUGCUGGCAAUGACGUUUUUACAAAAAUUGCGGAAAGCGAUGUUCAACUGAACAUAAGAACUUCGUGUACAGAAAACGCACAAUGUGAGUUAAAACUCGAAAUAUCUGGCAGAGGACUCUUAAAAAUCCA